This 535-nucleotide small RNA is filed under the name Pongo abelii (Sumatran orangutan). RNAcentral describes it as "processed transcript". The record is from RNAcentral. Lineage: Eukaryota; Metazoa; Chordata; Mammalia; Primates; Hominidae.
CCUUGUUGUGAGCCCCGGCCCGGCAGUGUCCGGACUCGUAGCCCCGCUUUUCUUAUCCGGGCCGCUAGCCUGAGUCUAGGUCGCAGCCGCAGCUCCACCCCGUCGGUCACCUUUUCAGCGCAGGUCCUUUCCCCGCACGCCCUGCGCUCCCUAACAUGCCCAACCCCAGCAGCACCUCCUCUCCCUACCCCCUCCCUGAGGAAAUUAGGAACCUGUUGGCAGAUGUUGAAACAUUUGUAGCAGACAUACUGAAAGGAGAAAAUUUAUCCAAGAAAGCAAAGGAAAAGAGAGAAUCCCUUAUUAAGAAGAUAAAAGAUGUAAAGUCUAUCUAUCUUCAGGAAUUUCGAGACAAAGAAAAAUAUUCUGCUGUAGUAUGAUUAAACCUUGAGUUUGUUGUAAUGUUUGUUACUACUGAAAUUAUAGGAAGGUGAUGCAGAAGAUGGGGAAGAAUAUGAUGACCCUUUUGCUGGGCCUCCAGACACUAUUUCAUUGGCCUCAGAACGAUAUGAUAAAGACGAUGAAGCCACCUCUGAUG